GUAGAGACACUUUUGACUUGAUCUCUGCAGUCCUCAACAUGCCAUCUUCUAUCCCGAGGGCAGCCAUCUUCUAUCCUGAGGGAAGCUGGCCUGAGGAUGAAGCCAGAAUAUGGAGAAGAGGAGGAGGAGAUAGCUGAGGAGCAGAACAGAAACCUGAACUGCAUUUUUCUUAGAGCAAGAAUUGCAUCAAUUCUUCAAACCAAGUUGAGCACUGUUGGUUUCCGUUACUUGGAACUUAAUAAAAUCUGACAGAUACUGUACAAGGAACAGUACUUGGGGAGCUCCACUUUAUCUGAGGCAUUCGUGAGUGGCUUGUGUCACAUUCCUGGCUGUUCAGGCAUCAGUCCUGGUUUCCUGAUGAGCUCUCGGCUGACUCCACCCAGAGCUCUCUUGCUUCCU
This 399-nucleotide long non-coding RNA is filed under the name Pongo abelii (Sumatran orangutan). Its description in RNAcentral is "lincRNA". The record is from RNAcentral. Lineage: Eukaryota; Metazoa; Chordata; Mammalia; Primates; Hominidae.